GAUGAAGAACGUAGCGAAAUGCGAUACGUAAUGUGAAUUGCAGAAUUCAGUGAAUCAUCGAAUCUUUGAACGCAUAUUGCGCUCUUUGGUAUUCCGAAGAGCAUGCUUGUUUGAGUAUCAGUAAACACCUCAAAGCUUUUGGAUUUUUUAAUCGAAAAGCUUUGGACUUGAGCAAUCCCAACACCAAUCUUUUUGAGAUCGGUGGCGGGUUGCCUGAAAUGCAGGUGCAGCUGGACAUUCUCCUGAGCUAAAAGCAUAUUCAUUUAGUCCCGUCAAACGGAUUAUUACUUUUGCUGCAGCUAACAUAAAGGGAGUUUGACCGUAUUGGCUGACUGAUGCAGGAUUUCACAAGGGUCGGCAACGAUUCUUGUUAAACUCGAUCUCAAAUCAAGUAAGACUACCCGCUGAACUUAAGCAUAUCAAUAAGCGGAGGA
This 434-nucleotide unclassified non-coding RNA is filed under the name soil metagenome. RNAcentral describes it as "partial contains 5.8S ribosomal RNA, internal transcribed spacer 2, and large subunit ribosomal RNA". The stretch from base 1 to 120 matches the Rfam family "5.8S ribosomal RNA", at positions 35 to 154 of the family's 154-position model. The record is from RNAcentral.